This 324-nucleotide unclassified non-coding RNA is filed under the name soil metagenome. RNAcentral describes it as "partial contains 5.8S ribosomal RNA, internal transcribed spacer 2, and large subunit ribosomal RNA". The stretch from base 1 to 120 matches the Rfam family "5.8S ribosomal RNA", at positions 35 to 154 of the family's 154-position model. The record is from RNAcentral.
GAUGAAGAACGUAGCGAAAUGCGAUAAGUAGUGUGAAUUGCAGAAUUCAGUGAAUCAUCGAAUCUUUGAACGCACAUUGCGCCCCUUGGUAUUCCAUGGGGCAUGCCUGUUCGAGCGUCAUUUGUACCUUCAAGCUUUGCUUGGUGUUGGGUGUUUGUCCCUCGGGACUCGCCUUAAAGUCAUUGGCAGCCAGUGUUUUGGUUUUGAAGCGCAGCACAAGUCGCGAUUCAAGGCUAUCCGCCAGCUUCCACAAGCCUUUUUCACUUUUGACCUCGGAUCAGGUAGGGAUACCCGCUGAACUUAAGCAUAUCAAUAAGCGGAGGA